RNAcentral lists this ribosomal RNA (271 nucleotides) under uncultured archaeon. RNAcentral describes it as "partial 16S ribosomal RNA". It matches the Rfam family "Archaeal small subunit ribosomal RNA", at positions 477 to 747 of the family's 1478-position model. The record is from RNAcentral.
CUGCGCCACGAGUGGGAACCACAAUUAUUGGGCCUAAAGCGUCCGUAGCCGGUCAAGUAAAUCUUUUGUGAAAUCAUGGGGCUUAACCUUAUGACGUGCAGAAAACACUGCUUGACUUGGAACCGGGAGGAGUUAGAAGUAUGCUGAGGGGAGCGGUAAAAUGCUAUAAUCCUCGGUAGACUACCUGUGGCGAAGGCGUCUAACUAGAACGGAUUCGACGGUGAGGGACGAAAGCUAGGGGAGCGAACCGGAUUAGAUACCCGAGUAGUCC